UUAAGUCCCGCAACGAGCGCAACCCUCGCCUUUAGUUGCCAGCAUUUAGUUGGGCACUCUAGAGGGACUGCCGGUGAUAAGCCGGAGGAAGGUGGGGAUGACGUCAAGUCCUCAUGGCCCUUACGGGCUGGGCUACACACGUGCUACAAUGGUGGUGACAGUGGGCAGCGAAACCGCGAGGUCUAGCUAAUCUCCAAAAGCCAUCUCAGUUCGGAUUGCACUCUGCAACUCGAGUGCAUGAAGUUGGAAUCGCUAGUAAUCGCAGAUCAGAAUGCUGCGGUGAAUACGUUCCCGGGCCUU
Molecule: ribosomal RNA, 300 nt
Filed under: uncultured bacterium
Lineage: Bacteria
Description: bacterial SSU rRNA
Rfam family: Bacterial small subunit ribosomal RNA
Source: RNAcentral